UGAGUUCACGUCUUUAUGGCUAAGAGCUGAUUCUCAUAGUGGACAACUCAACAAUGACUUUCAUCUUCAUCUUCCUCUGGACACUUGUCCUCUGCUUACAGAAGUCCUAUGGACAGGUCACUGUGACUCAGACUCCUGCAGUGAAAGCUGUUCAACAGGGAGGAUCAGUCAUUCUGAACUGUAGAACCAGCAGUAAUGUGUUUAAUGCAGGGACACAACCAGAGUUAGCCUGGUACCAACAGAAACCUGGAGCAGCUCCUAAACUCCUGAUCUAUUUUGCCAAAACACUUCAGUCUGGGACUCCAUCCAGAUUCAGUGGCAGUGGAACUCACAGUGACUUCACUCUGACCAUCAGUAAUGUCCAGGCUGAGGAUGCAGGAGUUUACUACUGUCAGAGUUACCAUAGUGGUGGUGUGUUCACACAGUGCUAAAGCUCCGUACAAAAA
Non-coding RNA from Alosa sapidissima (American shad), 446 nucleotides. The record is from the annotation of a RefSeq genome assembly. Lineage: Eukaryota; Metazoa; Chordata; Actinopteri; Clupeiformes; Clupeidae.